AGUACUGAGUCGCUGUGCAGGGGUACGAGGUAAUAACAAGGCUAUAUACAGUACCAGUACUGAGUCGAUGUACAGGGGUACGAGGUAAUAACAAGGCUAUGUACCAGUACUGAGUCGAUGUGCAGGGGUACGAGGUAAUGAGGCUAUAUACAGUACCAGUACUGAGUCGCUGUGCAGGGGUACGAGGUAAUAACAAGGCUAUAUACAGUACCAGUACUGAGUCGAUGUACAGGGGUACGAGGUAAUAACAAGGCUAUGUACCAGUACUGAGUCGAUGUGCAGGGGUACGAGGUAAUGAGGCUAUAUACAGUACCAGUACUGAGUCGCUGUGCAGGGGUACGAGGUAAUAACAAGGCUAUAUACAGUACCAGUACUGAGUCGAUGUACAACGAGGUAAUGAGGUAAUAACAUGGCUAUAAGGCCCAGUACUGAGUCGAUGUGCAGGGGUACGAGGUAACAACAAGGCUAUAUACAGUACAUAUAGGUAGGGGUAAAGUGACUAGGCAACAGGAUAGAUAAUAGUGUGUGUGUGUGACAAUUUUUUGGGCCCUUCCUCUGACCCCUGCUGGUGUAGAGGUCCUGGAAGGCAGGGAUCUUGGCACAGUGAUGUACUGUGCCAUUGUCAGAUGCCAAGCAGUUGCCAUACCAAGUGGUGAUGCAGCCAGUCAAGAUGCCCUCAAUGGUGGAGCUGUAGAACACACUGAGGAUCUGAGGGCCAAGUCUUUUCAGUCCACUGAUUCUCUCUGCUGUCGUGUACACUACAGGAACACUAUAGACGACAUGCUCUCUCUCUCUCUCUCUCUCUCUCUCUCUCUACCUCUCUCUCUACCUCUCUCUCUACCUCUCUCUACUUACCUCUCUCUCUCUACUUACCUCUCUCUCUCUCUUUACCUCUCUCUUUACAUUUCUCCCUCUCUCUAUUUAUAUAUGAUAUGUCAGCUGUUCAUAAAUAUCUUGUCCUCGUCAGCUCUUCUCCCAUCAGGUCACAUGGUAACUUGCUCGUAUUCCAUAUUCCAUUUUAGAUAGUACUUGGAGGGUUCAUCGGUUGCUUGUUGCAACAUUACUGAAGUUGAAUCUGGUCUGCUGGUAAUUUCAUCUCUGCCAAAAGGAGAUGUUAGAGGUAGUAUUUUUGAAUCACUGUAAUAUAAGUGUUCACAUUUAUGGUGCCCAUGUCACAUUGACCUUCUGCAGCGGCCAUCUUGUUUCG
This 1207-nucleotide long non-coding RNA is filed under the name Salmo salar (Atlantic salmon). Its description in RNAcentral is "lncRNA (ENSSSAG00000088024.1)". The record is from RNAcentral. Lineage: Eukaryota; Metazoa; Chordata; Actinopteri; Salmoniformes; Salmonidae.